UGGGGAAUUUUGGACAAUGGGCGAAAGCCUGAUCCAGCAAUGCCGCGUGUGUGAAGAAGGCCUUCGGGUUGUAAAGCACUUUUGUCCGGAAAGAAAUCCUUGGCUCUAAUACAGUCGGGGGAUGACGGUACCGGAAGAAUAAGCACCGGCUAACUACGUGCCAGCAGCCGCGGUAAUACGUAGGGUGCAAGCGUUAAUCGGAAUUACUGGGCGUAAAGCGUGCGCAGGCGGUUUGCUAAGACCGAUGUGAAAUCCCCGGGCUCAACCUGGGAACUGCAUUGGUGACUGGCAGGCUAGAGUAUGGCAGAGGGGGGUAGAAUUCCACGUGUAGCAGUGAAAUGCGUAGAGAUGUGGAGGAAUACCGAUGGCGAAGGCAGCCCCCUGGGCCAAAUACUGACGCUCAUGCACGAAAGCGUGGGGAGCAAACAGGAUUAGAUACCCUGGUAGUCCACGCCCUAAACGAUGUCAACUAGUUGUUGGGGAUUCAUUUCCUUAGUAACGUAGCUAACGCGUGAAGUUGACCGCCUGGGGAGUGCGGUCGCAAGAUU
RNAcentral lists this ribosomal RNA (548 nucleotides) under uncultured bacterium. RNAcentral's name for it is "partial 16S ribosomal RNA". It matches the Rfam family "Bacterial small subunit ribosomal RNA", at positions 355 to 895 of the family's 1533-position model. The record is from RNAcentral.